GAUGAACGCUGGCGGCGUGCUUAACACAUGCAAGUCGAACGAUGAAGCCCAGCUUGCUGGGUGGAUUAGUGGCGAACGGGUGAGUAACACGUGAGUAACCUGCCCUUAACUCUGGGAUAAGCCUGGGAAACUGGGUCUAAUACCGGAUAGGAGCGCCUACCGCAUGGUGGGUGUUGGGAAGAUUUAUCGGUUUUGGAUGGACUCGCGGCCUAUCAGCUUGUUGGUGAGGUAAUGGCUCACCAAGGCGACGACGGGUAGCCGGCCUGAGAGGGUGACCGGCCACACUGGGACUGAGACACGGCCCAGACUCCUACGGGAGGCAGCAGUGGGGAAUAUUGCACAAUGGGCGAAAGCCUGAUGCAGCGACGCCGCGUGAGGGAUGACGGCCUUCGGGUUGUAAACCUCUGUCAGUAGGGAAGAAGCGAAAGUGACGGUACCUGCAGAAGAAGCACCGGCUAACUACGUG
Molecule: ribosomal RNA, 466 nt
Filed under: uncultured bacterium
Lineage: Bacteria
Description: partial 16S ribosomal RNA
Rfam family: Bacterial small subunit ribosomal RNA
Source: RNAcentral